Molecule: ribosomal RNA, 538 nt
Filed under: uncultured archaeon
Lineage: Archaea
Description: bacterial SSU rRNA
Rfam family: Archaeal small subunit ribosomal RNA
Source: RNAcentral
AGCAGCCGCGGGAACACCGGCGGCCGAGUGGUGAUCGUGAUUAUUGGGUCUAAAGGGUCCGUAGCCGGUUUGGUCAGUCCUCCGGGAAAUCUGAUAGCUCAACUAUUAGGCUUUCGGGGGAUACUGCCAGACUUGGAACCGGGAGAGGUAAGAGGUACUACAGGGGUAGGAGUGAAAUCUUGUAAUCCCUGUGGGACCACCUGUGGCGAAGGCGUCUUACCAGAACGGGUUCGACGGUGAGGGACGAAAGCUGGGGGCACGAACCGGAUUAGAUACCCGGGUAGUCCCAGCCGUAAACGAUGCUCGCUAGGUGUCAGGCAUGGCGCGACCGUGUCUGGUGCCGCAGGGAAGCCGUGAAGCGAGCCACCUGGGAAGUACGGCCGCAAGGCUGAAACUUAAAGGAAUUGGCGGGGGAGCACAACAACGGGUGGAGCCCUGCGGUUUAAUUGGACUCAACGCCGGACAACUCACCGGGGGCGACAGCAAUAUGUAGGCCAAGCUGAAGACUUUGCCUGAAUCGCUGAGGAGUGGUGCAUGG